This 1491-nucleotide ribosomal RNA is filed under the name uncultured rumen bacterium. RNAcentral describes it as "bacterial SSU rRNA". It matches the Rfam family "Bacterial small subunit ribosomal RNA". The record is from RNAcentral.
AGAGUUUGAUCCUGGCUCAGGAUGAACGCUAGCUACAGGCUUAACACAUGCAAGUCGAGGGGCAGCAGAUCGAUAGCUUGCUAUUGAUGCUGGCGACCGGCGCACGGGUGAGUAACGCGUAUCCAACCUUCCCCUUAGUAGGGGAUAGCCCGGCGAAAGUCGGAUUAAUACCCUAUGUUAUCCGAAGAGGACAUCUGAAUUGGAUCAAAGGUUUACCGCUAAGGGAUGGGGAUGCGUCUGAUUAGGUAGUCGGCGGGGUAACGGCCCACCGAGCCGUCGAUCAGUAGGGGUUCUGAGAGGAAGGUCCCCCACAUUGGAACUGAGACACGGUCCAAACUCCUACGGGAGGCAGCAGUGAGGAAUAUUGGUCAAUGGGCGAGAGCCUGAACCAGCCAAGUAGCGUGCAGGAUGACGGCCCUAUGGGUUGUAAACUGCUUUUAUCGGGGGAUAAAGUCACCCACGUGUGGGUGUUUGCAGGUACCCGAUGAAUAAGGACCGGCUAAUUCCGUGCCAGCAGCCGCGGUAAUACGGAAGGUCCGGGCGUUAUCCGGAUUUAUUGGGUUUAAAGGGAGCGCAGGCGGGCUUUUAAGCGUGACGUGAAAUGUGGAUGCUCAACAUCUGAACUGCGUCGCGAACUGGAGGCCUUGAGUGAGUACGACGUGCACGGAAUUCGUGGUGUAGCGGUGAAAUGCUUAGAUAUCACGAAGAACUCCGAUUGCGAAGGCAGUGCACGAGUCCUUUACUGACGCUAAAGCUCGAAAGUGCGGGUAUCGAACAGGAUUAGAUACCCUGGUAGUCCGCACGGUAAACGAUGGAUGCCCGCUGUUGGCGACACACUGUCAGCGGCCAAGCGAAAGCGUUAAGCAUCCCACCUGGGGAGUACGCCGGCAACGGUGAAACUCAAAGGAAUUGACGGGGGCCCGCACAAGCGGAGGAACAUGUGGUUUAAUUCGAUGAUACGCGAGGAACCUUACCCGGGCUCGAACGGCAAACGAACGAUACAGAGAUGUAGAGGCCCUUCGGGGCGUUUGUCGAGGUGCUGCAUGGUUGUCGUCAGCUCGUGUCGUGAGAUGUUGGCUCAAGUGCCAUAACGAGCGCAACCCUUGCCGCCAGUUACCAUCAAGUGAUGUUGGGGACUCUGGCGGGACUGCCACCGUAAGGUGUGAGGAAGGCGGGGAUGACGUCAAAUCAGCACGGCCCUUACGUCCGGGGCGACACACGUGUUACAAUGACGCCUACAGGGGGAAGCCACCCGGCGACGGGGAGCAGAUCUCGAAAAGGCGCCUCAGUUCGGACUGGAGUCUGCAACCCGACUCCACGAAGCUGGAUUCGCUAGUAAUCGCGCAUCAGCCAUGGCGCGGUGAAUACGUUCCCGGGCCUUGUACACACCGCCCGUCAAGCCAUGAAAGCCGGGGGCGCCUGAAGUCCGCGACCGCAAGGAGCGGCCUAGGGCGAAACUGGUAAUUGGGGCUAAGUCGUAACAAGGUAACC